GACGAACGCUGGCGGCGUGCCUAAUACAUGCAAGUCGAGCGGAGUAAAGACUUCGGUUUUUAUUAGCGGCGGACGGGUGAGUAACGCGUAGGUAACCUGCCUAACAGACUGGGAUAACUACCGGAAACGGUAGCUAAGACCGGAUACGUCAAAAUGAGGGCAUCCUCGAAUUGAGAAAAGCGAGCAAUCUGCUACUGGUAGAUGGACCUGCGGCGCAUUAGCUAGUUGGUGAGGAGAGGCUCACCAAGGCGACGAUGCGUAGCCGACCUGAGAGGGUGAACGGCCACACUGGGACUGAGACACGGCCCAGACUCCUACGGGAGGCAGCAGUAGGGAAUCUUCGGCAAUGGACGAAAGUCUGACCGAGCAGCGCCGCGUGAGUGAUGAAGGUUUUCGGAUCGUAAAAC
RNAcentral lists this ribosomal RNA (407 nucleotides) under uncultured bacterium. RNAcentral describes it as "bacterial SSU rRNA". It matches the Rfam family "Bacterial small subunit ribosomal RNA", at positions 28 to 431 of the family's 1533-position model. The record is from RNAcentral.